GAUGAACGCUGGCGGCGUGCUUAACACAUGCAAGUCGAGCGAGAAGUUUUGAAAAGAUUCUUCGGAUGAAAUUUAAAAUGGAAAGCGGCGGACGGGUGAGUAACGCGUAGGCAACCUGCCCCAUACAAAGGGAUAGCAUUUGGAAACGAAUAUUAAUACCUUAUGAAACUUAACUAGUGCAUGCUAGGUAGGUCAAAGAUUUAUCGGUAUGGGAUGGGCCUGCGUCUGAUUAGCUAGUUGGUGAGGUAACGGCUCACCAAGGCGACGAUCAGUAGCCGACCUGAGAGGGUGAACGGCCACAUUGGAACUGAGACACGGUCCAAACUCCUACGGGAGGCAGCAGUGGGGAAUAUUGCACAAUGGGGGAAACCCGGAUGCAGCAACGCCGCGUGAACGAUGAAGGCCUUUGGGGCGUAAAGUUCUGUUCUAGGUGAUGAAAACUGACAGUAACCUAGGAGAAAGCCCCGGCUAACUCCGUG
Molecule: ribosomal RNA, 479 nt
Filed under: uncultured bacterium
Lineage: Bacteria
Description: partial 16S ribosomal RNA
Rfam family: Bacterial small subunit ribosomal RNA
Source: RNAcentral